RNAcentral lists this ribosomal RNA (2254 nucleotides) under Escherichia coli. Its description in RNAcentral is "bacterial LSU rRNA". It matches the Rfam family "Bacterial large subunit ribosomal RNA", at positions 711 to 2925 of the family's 2925-position model. Lineage: Bacteria; Pseudomonadati; Pseudomonadota; Gammaproteobacteria; Enterobacterales; Enterobacteriaceae. The record is from RNAcentral.
AGACCCGAAACCCGGUGAUCUAGCCAUGGGCAGGUUGAAGGUUGGGUAACACUAACUGGAGGACCGAACCGACUAAUGUUGAAAAAUUAGCGGAUGACUUGUGGCUGGGGGUGAAAGGCCAAUCAAACCGGGAGAUAGCUGGUUCUCCCCGAAAGCUAUUUAGGUAGCGCCUCGUGAAUUCAUCUCCGGGGGUAGAGCACUGUUUCGGCAAGGGGGUCAUCCCGACUUACCAACCCGAUGCAAACUGCGAAUACCGGAGAAUGUUAUCACGGGAGACACACGGCGGGUGCUAACGUCCGUCGUGAAGAGGGAAACAACCCAGACCGCCAGCUAAGGUCCCAAAGUCAUGGUUAAGUGGGAAACGAUGUGGGAAGGCCCAGACAGCCAGGAUGUUGGCUUAGAAGCAGCCAUCAUUUAAAGAAAGCGUAAUAGCUCACUGGUCGAGUCGGCCUGCGCGGAAGAUGUAACGGGGCUAAACCAUGCACCGAAGCUGCGGCAGCGACACUGUGUGUUGUUGGGUAGGGGAGCGUUCUGUAAGCCUGUGAAGGUGUGCUGUGAGGUAUGCUGGAGGUAUCAGAAGUGCGAAUGCUGACAUAAGUAACGAUAAAGCGGGUGAAAAGCCCGCUCGCCGGAAGACCAAGGGUUCCUGUCCAACGUUAAUCGGGGCAGGGUGAGUCGACCCCUAAGGCGAGGCCGAAAGGCGUAGUCGAUGGGAAACAGGUUAAUAUUCCUGUACUUGGUGUUACUGCGAAGGGGGGACGGAGAAGGCUAUGUUGGCCGGGCGACGGUUGUCCCGGUUUAAGCGUGUAGGCUGGUUUUCCAGGCAAAUCCGGAAAAUCAAGGCUGAGGCGUGAUGACGAGGCACUACGGUGCUGAAGCAACAAAUGCCCUGCUUCCAGGAAAAGCCUCUAAGCAUCAGGUAACAUCAAAUCGUACCCCAAACCGACACAGGUGGUCAGGUAGAGAAUACCAAGGCGCUUGAGAGAACUCGGGUGAAGGAACUAGGCAAAAUGGUGCCGUAACUUCGGGAGAAGGCACGCUGAUAUGUAGGUGAAGUCCCUCGCGGAUGGAGCUGAAAUCAGUCGAAGAUACCAGCUGGCUGCAACUGUUUAUUAAAAACACAGCACUGUGCAAACACGAAAGUGGACGUAUACGGUGUGACGCCUGCCCGGUGCCGGAAGGUUAAUUGAUGGGGUCAGCGCAAGCGAAGCUCUUGAUCGAAGCCCCGGUAAACGGCGGCCGUAACUAUAACGGUCCUAAGGUAGCGAAAUUCCUUGUCGGGUAAGUUCCGACCUGCACGAAUGGCGUAAUGAUGGCCAGGCUGUCUCCACCCGAGACUCAGUGAAAUUGAACUCGCUGUGAAGAUGCAGUGUACCCGCGGCAAGACGGAAAGACCCCGUGAACCUUUACUAUAGCUUGACACUGAACAUUGAGCCUUGAUGUGUAGGAUAGGUGGGAGGCUUUGAAGUGUGGACGCCAGUCUGCAUGGAGCCGACCUUGAAAUACCACCCUUUAAUGUUUGAUGUUCUAACGUGGACCCGUGAUCCGGGUUGCGGACAGUGUCUGGUGGGUAGUUUGACUGGGGCGGUCUCCUCCUAAAGAGUAACGGAGGAGCACGAAGGUUGGCUAAUCCUGGUCGGACAUCAGGAGGUUAGUGCAAUGGCAUAAGCCAGCUUGACUGCGAGCGUGACGGCGCGAGCAGGUGCGAAAGCAGGUCAUAGUGAUCCGGUGGUUCUGAAUGGAAGGGCCAUCGCUCAACGGAUAAAAGGUACUCCGGGGAUAACAGGCUGAUACCGCCCAAGAGUUCAUAUCGACGGCGGUGUUUGGCACCUCGAUGUCGGCUCAUCACAUCCUGGGGCUGAAGUAGGUCCCAAGGGUAUGGCUGUUCGCCAUUUAAAGUGGUACGCGAGCUGGGUUUAGAACGUCGUGAGACAGUUCGGUCCCUAUCUGCCGUGGGCGCUGGAGAACUGAGGGGGGCUGCUCCUAGUACGAGAGGACCGGAGUGGACGCAUCACUGGUGUUCGGGUUGUCAUGCCAAUGGCACUGCCCGGUAGCUAAAUGCGGAAGAGAUAAGUGCUGAAAGCAUCUAAGCACGAAACUUGCCCCGAGAUGAGUUCUCCCUGACCCUUUAAGGGUCCUGAAGGAACGUUGAAGACGACGACGUUGAUAGGCCGGGUGUGUAAGCGCAGCGAUGCGUUGAGCUAACCGGUACUAAUGAACCGUGAGGCUUAACCUUACAACGCCGAAGGUGUUU